This 571-nucleotide ribosomal RNA is filed under the name Diadocidia stanfordensis. RNAcentral describes it as "eukaryotic LSU rRNA". It matches the Rfam family "Eukaryotic large subunit ribosomal RNA", at positions 402 to 812 of the family's 3401-position model. The record is from RNAcentral. Lineage: Eukaryota; Metazoa; Arthropoda; Insecta; Diptera; Diadocidiidae.
AAACCGCUUAGGGGUUAAGUCCGAUGAACCUGAAUAUCUGAAUUGAGAAAUUCAAUACUAUUUUAGUAAUUUAUUGUAAAAAAUAAAUAAACAAUGGUAUGCACUUUUCUCAUAGUAAGACAUUGCGAUCCAUUAGUAUAUCUUUUAUAGAUGGUUUAUCAAACGGCCCGUUUGGUUUGUUUAUUCUAUCUGUGAUACUUGUAUCAUAUGAAUAAUACCAUAUCGGUGACCUGUUAAACAGCUGAUGGAGCUUAAAAAUCAUGCAACCAUGCAUAUGUAUCACAUUUUAUGUAUUUUUAAUAUAUGAUAGUAGUGAUAGCAUGUAUUUGAUUAGCAAUGCGAUAGAUUUGGGAUACCUUCGGGACCCGUCUUGAAACACGGACCAAGAAGUCUAACAUGUGUGUAAGUCAUUGGGUAUUUGUUGAAACCUAAAGGCGUAAUUAAAAUAACUAUUUUAAUGGGAUUACAAGCAAUUUAAUAUAUUGUUUCUCCAUCCCGGGGCGUUCUAUACGAACAUGGUUUAAGCAAUUAGACCCUCUGUUCAAGAGCGUACCUUGAACAUACAUGCUGU